GGUGCGAUAGCUCAAUGGAUCAGAGCUCGCGGAUGAUAACCGCGCGAUGAAAGUUCGAUUCUUUCUCGCAUCA
Molecule: transfer RNA, 73 nt
Filed under: Terriglobia bacterium
Lineage: Bacteria; Pseudomonadati; Acidobacteriota; Terriglobia
Description: tRNA-Ile
Rfam family: tRNA
About the family: Transfer RNA (tRNA) molecules are approximately 80 nucleotides in length. Their secondary structure includes four short double-helical elements and three loops (D, anti-codon, and T loops). Further hydrogen bonds mediate the characteristic L-shaped molecular structure. tRNAs have two regions of fundamental functional importance: the anti-codon, which is responsible for specific mRNA codon recognition, and the 3' end, to which the tRNAs corresponding amino acid is attached (by aminoacyl-tRNA synthetases). tRNAs cope with the degeneracy of the genetic code in two manners: having more than one tRNA (with a specific anti-codon) for a particular amino acid; and 'wobble' base-pairing, i.e. permitting non-standard base-pairing at the 3rd anti-codon position.
Source: RNAcentral